GUGGGGAAUAUUGGACAAUGGGGGGAACCCUGAUCCAGCCAUGCCGCGUGUGUGAAGAAGGCCUUUUGGUUGUAAAGCACUUUAAGCGAGGAGGAGGCUACCGAGAUUAAUACUCUUGGAUAGAGGACGUUACUCGCAGAAUAAGCACCGGCUAACUCUGUGCCAGCAGCCGCGGUAAUACAGAGGGUGCAAGCGUUAAUCGGAUUUACUGGGCGUAAAGCGCGCGUAGGUGGCCAAUUAAGUCAAAUGUGAAAUCCCCGAGCUUAACUUGGGAAUUGCAUGCGAUACUGGUUGGCUAGAGUAUGGGAGAGGAUGGUAGAAUUCCAGGUGUAGCGGUGAAAUGCGUAGAGAUCUGGAGGAAUACCGAUGGCGAAGGCAGCCAUCUGGCCUAAUACUGACACUGAGGUGCGAAAGCAUGGGGAGCAAACAGGAUUAGAUACCCCUGUAGUCC
RNAcentral lists this ribosomal RNA (451 nucleotides) under uncultured bacterium. Its description in RNAcentral is "partial 16S ribosomal RNA". It matches the Rfam family "Bacterial small subunit ribosomal RNA", at positions 354 to 796 of the family's 1533-position model. The record is from RNAcentral.